GUCGUGACGUAUGACGGGAAGGGGGAGGGGCCCACGAUACAGUGGUUUUUUAUUUAUUUCUUUGUUUCACGUUCAGAAAGCAACAAUGCUGUAUAUUUGCAGAAAUGUCCAUAUCUGAUCGUUCGCCUGACAUUUUCGUUAUAAUUACCGGACUUGUAUCAGAACCGAAUCCACAGGAGGGAGGAUGAAGCGGCGCAAUGCGGACUGCAGCAAGCUCCGACGCCCGUUAAAACGGAACCGAAUCACCGAGGGUAUAUAUAGCAGUACGUUCCUGUACCUGAAGUUUCUGGUGGUGUGGGUGCUGGUGCUGCUGGCAGACUUUGUGUUGGAGUUCAGGUUUGAGUACCUGUGGCCCUUCUGGCUCUUCAUACGCAGUGUAUAUGACUCGUUCAGAUACCAGGGGCUGGCGUUCUCAGUGUUCUUUGUGUGUGUGGCAUUUACGUCUGACAUCAUCUGCCUCCUCUUUAUCCCUGUCCAAUGGCUGUUCUUCGCUGCCAGCACCUACGUCUGGGUCCAGUACGUCUGGCACACAGAGAGAGGAGUGUGCCUGCCCACCGUAUCGCUAUGGAUACUGUUUGUUUACAUGGAAGCUGCCAUCCGCUUCAAGGACCUGAAGAACUUCCACGUGGACCUGUGUCGGCCCUUCGCAGCUCACUGUAUUGGCUACCCCGUGGUGACUCUGGGCUUUGGCUUUAAGAGCUACGUCAGCUACAGGAUGAGACUGAGGAAACAGAAGGAAGUGCAGAAGGAGAAUGAGUUCUACAUGCAGCUCCUACAGCAGGCUCUGCCCCCAGAGCAACAGAUGCUACAGAGACAGGAGAGAGAGGCAGAGGAGGCGGCCAUGGCUAAAGGCGUGUCAUCAGAGGUGGACCUAGCAUCUCCGGUCUCCCAAAACGGGGCUACUCCCGGCAAGAAGAGCUCCGUUAACUCUUCUGUCCCCUUACCGGAACUGGAGUACCGGGAGAAAGGGAGAGACGGGAACAGCAAGGAACGGGAGGGCAAACUACAACAACAACAACAACAACAACACACAAUAGGAAUCAACAACAACAGUAUCCUCCACACACUGGACUCUACAUUACAGGAGACAGAGUAUAUGGAGAACAUGGGGGGGAAGAGACUGAAUAACGACCUCGGAGGAGGAGAGAGCACACACACUCCCAAAGAGGAGGUGGGGGGAACAGGAGGAGGAGGAGGAGGAGGAGGAGAGAGCACACACACUCCCAAAGAGGAGGUGGGGGGAACAGGAGGAGGAGGAGGAGGAGGAGGAGGGAAGAACUACAAAAACGCCAGCGGAGGCGGUGGGGCCACCAACUCCUCACCUCGGAAUCACAGCUCCACCAAUGGGAGCGUGCCGUCGUCUGGCUCGUCCAAUAGGAACGAGAAGAAGCAGAAGUCGGCGGGGAAAGGAGCAGCCAAUCAGAAGGAUCCCGUGGAGAACUGCAUUCCCAACAAUCAACUGGGAAAGCCGGACGCUCUCGUGCGGUUGGAGCAGGAUGUGAAACGGCUGAAGGCGGACCUGCAGGCGAGCCGUCAGUUGGAGUCAGAUUUACGUUCUCACCUCUCCUCCCUGACCAGCCAGGACAGGAGUCUGCGCUCAGAGCUGGGCCAGCUGCGACAAGACAACGAGAUGCUGCAGAACAAGCUGUACAGUGCUGUCCAGGCCAAGCAGAAGGACAAGCAGACCAUCUCCCAGCUAGAGAAGAGGCUGAAGGCAGAGCAGGAGGCCCGGGCGCUGGUGGAGAAACAGCUGGCUGACGAGAGGAAGAGGAAGAAGGUGGAGGAAGCCACCGCAGCCCGGGCUGUAGCUCUAGCCGUAGCCUCCAGGGGUGAGUGUACUGACUCCCUGCGUGGUCGGAUCAGAGAGUUGGAGACGGAGUGUAAGAAACUCAGCAUCGACAUGAAACUCAAAGAAGAGCACAUUAGAGAGCUGGAGGGGAAAUGCCAGGAGCUACGUAAGUACAAGGAGAAUGAGAAGGACAUGGAGGUGUUGAUGUCGGCGCUGUCGGCCAUGCAGGAUAAAACCCAGCACCUGGAGAACAGCCUGUCUGCUGAGACCAGGAUCAAACUAGACCUCUUCUCUGCCCUGGGGGACGCCAAGAGACAGCUGGAGAUUGCGCAAGGUCAGAUCCACCAGAGAGACCAGGAGAUAGCAGAGUUGAAACGGAAGAUAGCGGAGGUGAUGGCGGUGAUGCCCAGUAUCUCCUACAGCAACGACAGCAGCAGCCUCAGCCCGGUUACGCCACACUACUCCUCCAAGUUCAUGGACAAUAGUCCCUCUUCCCUGGAUCCCAACGCUUCUGUCUACCAGCCACUCAAAAAGUGACAAUGACACACACAUUAAUACACACUAACGCACACACACACACACACACACACACUUACAAGAAUACAGAUUUACAAAAUACGGCCUACAUAGUCACAUCCACUCAUACAUACAAAGACACAAACUCUUCGGAAGCGAUUGGAAAUGAUCUCGGCGCUGUCUAAGACGAUCUUCUCCAAAGUGUUUUGGUUGUGUUUUGGUUGUGUUUUGGGAACCAGUUGCGGUCGGAGUCUCAGCCCCGUCGUUCUGUUAUUCUCUGUUUGUUCCCACGGUGAUGCCUUAGUGGGAACAGCUGGAGAGGUAAAACUACACGAGGGAAGAUGUUUAUGUUUUGUGAUUGAGCCACUCUGAUUUGAACCGGUAAGAGAGACGUAAAGGGACACCGGAUUGACUGUAUCCUGAAUGGCGCCCUAUUCCCUACAGCCCAUGAGGAAUGUGCUGAGGGGGGAGAGAGACCGAUGAGGACUGACUGGUUUAGUUGGUAUAAAUGUCUAGAAAGACCCAUCGUCUUGUUCUCUGUCUCUCAGUGCUUCAUGUUCUCUCUCUCUCUCUGUCAGUGCUUCAUGUUCUCUCUCUGUCAGUGCUUCAUGUUCUCUCUCUCUCAGUGCUUCAUGUUCUCUCUCUCAGUGCUUCAUGUUCUCUCUCUCAGUGCUUCAUGUUCUCUCUCUCAGUGCUUCAUGUUCUCUCUGUCUCUCAGUGCUUCAUGUUCUCUCUGUCUCUCAGUGCUUCAUGUUCUCUCUGUCUCUCAGUGCUGCAUGUUCUCUCUGUCUCUCAGUGCUUCAUGUUCUCUCUGUCAGUGCUUCAUGUUCUCUCUCUCGCUGUCAGUGCUUCAUGUUCUCUCUCUCUCUCAGUGCUUCAUGUUCUCUCUCUAAGUCUGUCAGUGCUUCAUGUUCUCUCUCUCUCAGUGCUUCAUGUUCUCUCUCUGUCUCUCAGUGCUUCAUGUUCUCUCUCUCUCUGUCAGUGCUUCAUGUUCUCUCUCUCUGUCAGUGCUUCAUGUUCUCUCUCACAGUGCUUCAUGGUCUCUCUCUCUCUGUCAGUGCUUCAUGUUCUCUCUCUAUCAGUGCUUCAUGUUCUCUCUGUCUCUCAGUGCUUCAUGUUCUCUCUCUCUCUGUCAGUGCUUCAUGUUCUCUCUCUGUCAGUGCUUCAUGUUCUCUCUCUCUCUCUGUCAGUGCUUCAUGUUAUCUCUCUCUGUCUGUCAGUGCUUCAUGUUCUCUCUCUCUCAGUGCUUCAUGUUCUCUCUCUCUCUCUCAGUGCUUCAUGUUCUCUCUCUCUCUCUCAGUGCUUCAUGUUCUCUCUCUCUCUCUCAGUGCUUCAUGUUCUCUCUGUCUCUCAGUGCUUCAUGUUCUCUCUGUCUCUCAGUGCUUCAUGUUCUCUCUCUCUGUCAGUGCUUCAUGUUCUCGCUCUCUCUGUCAGUGCUUCAUGUUCUCGCUCUCUCUGUCAGUGCUUCAUGUUCUCGCUCUCUCUGUCAGUGCUUCAUGUUCUCGCUCUCUCUUAGUGCUUCAUGUUCUCUCUCUCUCUUAGUGCUUCAUGUUCUCUCUCUCUCAGUGCUUCAUGUUCUCUCUCUAAGUCUGUCAGUGCUUCAUGUUCUCUCUCUCUCAGUGCUUCAUGCUCUCUCUCUCUCUCAGUGCUUCAUGCUCUCUCUCUCUCUCUCAGUGCUUCAUGCUCUCUCUCUCUCUCAGUGCUUCAUGCUCUCUCUCUCUCUCUCAGUGCUUCAUGCUCUCUCUCUCUCUCUCAGUGCUUCAUGUUAUCUCUCUCUCUGUCAGUGCUUCAUGUUCUCUCUCUCUCUGUCAGUGCUUCAUGUUCUCUCUCUCUCUGUCAGUGCUUCAUGUUCUCUCUCUCUCUGUCAGUGCUUCAUGUUCUCUCUCUCUCUGUCAGUGCUUCAUGUUCUCUCUCUCUCUGUCAGUGCUUCAUGUUCUCUCUCUCUCUGUCAGUGCUUCAUGUUCUCUCUCUCUGUCAGUGCUUCAUGUUCUCUCUCUGUCUCUCAGUGCUUCAUGUUCUCUCUCUCUGUCAGUGCUUCAUGUUCUCUCUCUCUGUCAGUGCUUCAUGUUCUCUCUCUGUCUCUCAGUGCUUCAUGUUCUCUCUCUCUGUCAGUGCUUCAUUCUCUCUCUCUGUCAGUGCUUCAUUCUCUCUCUCUGUCAGUGCUUCAUGUUCUCUCUCUCUCUCAGUGCUUCAUGUUCUCUCUCUCUCUCAGUGCUUCAUGUUCUCUCUCUCUCUCAGUGCUUCAUGUUCUCUCUCUCUCUCUCAGUGCUUCAUGUUCUCUCUCUCUCUCAGUGCUUCAUGUUCUCUCUCUCUCUCAGUGCUUCAUGUUCUCUCUCUCUCUCAGUGCUUCAUGUUCUCUCUCUAAGUCUCUCAGUGCUUCAUGUUCUCUCUCUCUCUCAGUGCUUCAUGUUCUCUCUCUCUGUCUCUCAGUGCUUCAUGUUCUCUCUCUCUGUCAGUGCUUCAUGUUCUCUCUCUCUGUCUGUCAGUGCUUCAUGUUCUUUCUCUCUGUCUCAGUGCUUCAUGUUCUCUCUCUCUCUCUCAGUGCUUCAUGUUCUCUCUCUCAGUGCUUCAUGUUCUCUCUGUCUGUCAGUGCUUCAUGUUCUCUCUCUCUCAGUGCUUCAUGUUCUCUCUCUCAGUGCUUCAUGUUCUCUCUCUCAGUGCUUCAUGUUCUUUCUCUGUCUGUCAGUGCUUCAUGUUCUCUCUGUCUGUCAGUGCUUCAUGUUCUCUCUCUCUCUCUCUCUCUCUCUCUCUCUCUCUCUCUCUCUUCUCUCUCUCUCUCAGUGCUUCAUGUUCUCUCUCUCUGUCUGUCAGUGCUUCAUGUUUUGUUCAGCAGGUUUUGUCUCAGCUUAACAUUAGUCUUUGUAUGAUGGGACUAUUACACUACUCUACAUGUUUUGCUUUUAAAUGCGAAGAAGCUGAAACAUUUGAAGUGGUAUCUUCUGUGAGUUUCAUUAUGAAUUGAAAAGUACAUGGUUGAUGUUUUGGUAUUAUUGCCAUUACUUAAAUAUGUGAUUUAGUUUUUUUUUUAAAGCAACACAUUUCAGUUUAGUUAUGACAAUAACAAUGGUAAUGUACAUUUCUCUAUACCAGUGGUCUUGGAAAGAUCACCAAUUUGUACAUCAACUCACAUUCACCCUUUUUACUCCAAACAAUAUCCGGGAUUAUCAAUUAACUCCAACACUCCGGUCAAGAAAUACAGAUCUUUAACAAUUGGAUUGCCAAUGGAGAUGACCUGGUACUGUCUAAAGGUUAAGAUAUGACCUGGUACUGUCUAAAGGUUAAGAGAUGACCUGGUACUGUCUAAAGGUUAAGAUAUGACCUGGUACUGUCUAAAGGUUAAGAGAUGACCUGGUACUGUCUAAAGGUUAAGAUAUGACCUGGUACUGUCUAAAGGUUAAGAGAUGACCUGGUACUGUCUAAAGGUUAAGAGAUGACCUGGUACUGUCUAAAGGUUAAGAGAUGACCUGGUACUGUCUAAAGGUUAAGAUAUGACCUGGUACUGUCUAAAGGUUAAGAGAUGACCUGGUACUGUCUAAAGGUUAAGAGAUGACCUGGUACUGUCUAAAGGUUAAGAUAUGACCUGGUACUGUCUAAAGGUUAAGAUAUGACCUGGUACUGUCUAAAGGUUAAGAGAUGUCAUCUGUUUGCUGCAAAUGCACUCAAACCUGUCUAUCCUUUUGGACCAAAUUAGAAUCCGUCGUUAGGCCAUAUUACUAAAAACCUACUGGAUUUAAUGAUGUCUAGGUAACUGAUGUUUGCCAGUUGUAAAUUUCACUGUGCCUUGCAAUUGUUUUUUUUGUUUUUUAAGUAGUGAGUAUAAUAGGUUACUUCCCCAAUCUAGAUAUAGGACCUGGGCUGUCUCAAUAGUGGAAGUGUGCUUCCUUUCAUUGUACCUUUCCUUCGUGAAGGAAAGGAGAUGAAAGAAGGAAGCCAGUGUAGUGGAUUGAGAUAUCUCCCAUGCAGCCCCAGUCUCCUUUAUAUUAAACCCAAUACACUUAGACACCGACCAGUGUUGUCUUAAGGAGGAAACUAAUUGAUUUGGUAUAUGAAUGAACCUGGUCUGCCAAACAACAGCCAAACAGCUGUUAAAUAUGCCUACCUGGUCAGGUCAAGAGGGUCAGUAGUAACUCCAGGCUCUUAUGUCCACUACUACGGUGGCCCAGAGUGGACAUCUAUUUGUUUACAACCAAGGUUGGGGGUAAAUUCUAUUUCAAUUCAGGAAGUAAAAAUUUGAAUUUCAGUAAGUCAAUGCUUUUUAAUGAGGAAACAAUUUGGAAUUGUAAUUUGGUUUUAACUUUCUGAUUUGAAAUGGAAUCGACCCCCCCCCCCCAACCCUGUUUACAACCAUGUACAUUAUUACAUACCGAUGAAUGUUCUAGUUUGUUCAGUUCAAAGUGCCGCGUUUUGGUGUUUCUCUUAAUGAUUCCCUCUCCAUUCAUUAGGUUGAUGUGUCUCUAGCCUGCUUUAGGUUUGGAUAACAGCAUCAGAGCUACACGUUGUUGUGUUCAUGUAUUUGACUUUUUUUUGGGGGGACAUUCGGUUCUGAUUUUAUUUCAUUUUUUUUUCUAGGUUGAUCAGAAAGCAAGGACAGUGAUGGUUGAAUUGACUCACUGCUGUUGUUAUUGAUUUGGUUGUAGCCACAUUCUCCCUCUUGCAUCGUGUGUUUACUCCACUCCUUCUAGCCCGGGUCCCAGAUCUGUUUGUGUUCUUCCUAACUCUCCAUCUAGCCCGGGUCCCAGAUCUGUUUGUGUUCUUCCUAACUCUCCUUCUAGCCCGGGUCCCAGAUCUGUUUGUGUUCUUCCUAACUCUCCUUCUAGCCCGGGUCCCAGAUCUGUUUGUGUUCUUCCUAACUCUCCUUCUAGCCCGGGUCCCAGAUCUGUUUGUGUUCUUCCUAACUCUCCUUCUAGCCCGGGUCCCAGAUCUGUUUGUGUUCUUCCUAACUCUCCUUCUAGCCCGGGUCCCAUAUCUGUUUGUGUUCUUCCCAACUCCCUAUGGAGUCGUCAUGCAAAACAAUUGGCUUGAAAGAACAAACGAAAAAAAUACAUUUUGAGUUGGCAAGAGCACAAACAGAUCUGGGACCAGGCUAAUCUCUUUCCAACUGGGAUGAUGAUGAUGAUGAUGGUGUGAAGUUUUGUAUUGGGGAAGUUACACCCUGCCCACUGGGCACACGCUUGUUGAAUCGACGUUGUUUCCAUGUCUUUUACGUUACGUUGAGCCAACGUGAAAUAGACGUUCAGUUCAGACAUCUGUGCAGUUUGAUGCCGUGGGGUUUUAUUGUUUUUGCUGUAGGGGAAAGUUGCCCCUAGAUACUGAUUCUGGGUCAGUUUUACGUUUCUCCGCUAUUGUUAUAAUUGGGAUUAGGGGAGCGGAAUCUGUUUCUGGGUCAGUACCUAGACAACUUGACCCCUGGCGUUUUCUCAUGUUUCCUACCUGGAAAGUAUUGGUGUGGAUCACAGUGACGGACUUGUGACCUGUUGUGACUGUUGUUUUAGUGGGAAAGUGUUUUUUUGUUUUCUCUCUAUCUCAAAGUGAUGAUGAUGAUGAUGAUGUCGGCUGAGUCCAAACUUCUCUCACUUUGGGGCCGUCACCUGGAAUAAACAAUAAAAAAAAAGAGUCUUGCAGGCGAUGAUGCUGAUGAUGCAA
Oncorhynchus keta (chum salmon) is the source of this 7948-nucleotide long non-coding RNA. RefSeq lists it as uncharacterized. Lineage: Eukaryota; Metazoa; Chordata; Actinopteri; Salmoniformes; Salmonidae. The record is from RefSeq and is a predicted model, not a curated record. The transcript has 13 exons.